GACGAACGCUGGCGGCGCGCUUAACACAUGCAAGUCGAACGGAAAGGCCUGCUUUCCCUUGUGGAUUGCGGGUACUCGAGUGGCGAACGGGUGAGUAACACGUGAGUGAUCUGCCCCCAACUUGGGUAUAAGCCUGGGAAACUGGGUCUAAUUCCCGAUAGGACUGCAGGGUGGUGCCUGUGGUGGAAAACGAUUUUCUAGUGGUUGGGGAUGAGCUCGCGGCCUAUCAGCUUGUUGGUGGGGUAAUGGCCUACCAAGGCGGGGAGUGGUAGCCGGCCUGAGAGAGUGGACGGUGACAUUGGGACUGGGAUACGGCCCAGACUCGUAGGGGAGGCAGCAGUGGGGAAUAUUGCGGAAUGGGCGGAAGCCUGAAGCAGCGACGCAGCGUGGGAGGUGACGGCCUUGGAGUUGUAAGCUCCUUUCGACGGAGAGGAAGCCACCUGGUUAGAAGGGUGGUGACGGUAGUGGCAGAAGAAGCACCGGCUAACUACGUG
RNAcentral lists this ribosomal RNA (494 nucleotides) under uncultured bacterium. RNAcentral's name for it is "partial 16S ribosomal RNA". It matches the Rfam family "Bacterial small subunit ribosomal RNA", at positions 28 to 507 of the family's 1533-position model. The record is from RNAcentral.